RNAcentral lists this ribosomal RNA (403 nucleotides) under bacterium. RNAcentral describes it as "partial 16S ribosomal RNA". It matches the Rfam family "Bacterial small subunit ribosomal RNA", at positions 355 to 776 of the family's 1533-position model. The record is from RNAcentral.
UGGGGAAUAUUGCACAAUGGGGGAAACCCUGAUGCAGCGACGCCGCGUGAACGAAGAAGGUAUUCGUAUCGUAAAGUUCUGUCCUAUGGGAAGAUAAUGACAGUACCAUAGAAGAAAGCUCCGGCUAAAUACGUGCCAGCAGCCGCGGUAAUACGUAGGGAACGAGCGUUGUCCGGGAUUAUUGGGCGUAAAGGGUACGCAGGCGGUUUAAUAAGUCGAAUGUUAAAGAUCGGGGCUCAACCCCGCGAAGCAUUGGAAACUGAUAAACUUGAGUAGUGGAGAGGAAAGUGGAAUUCCUAGUGUAGUGGUGAAAUACGUAGAUAUUAGGGGGAAUACCAGUAGCGAAGGCGACUUUCUGGACACAAACUGACGCUGAGGUACGAAAGCGUGGGGAGCAAACAGG